UACGAAGGGGGCUAGCGUUGCUCGGAAUCACUGGGCGUAAAGCGCACGUAGGCGGCUUUCUAAGUCAGGGGUGAAAUCCUGGAGCUCAACUCCAGAACUGCCUUUGAUACUGGGGAGCUCGAGUCCGGAAGAGGUGAGUGGAACUCCGAGUGUAGAGGUGAAAUUCGUAGAUAUUCGGAGGAACACCAGUGGCGAAGGCGGCUCACUGGCUCGAUACUGACGCUGAGGUGCGAAAGCGUGGGGAGCAAACAGG
RNAcentral lists this ribosomal RNA (253 nucleotides) under uncultured bacterium. Its description in RNAcentral is "partial 16S ribosomal RNA". It matches the Rfam family "Bacterial small subunit ribosomal RNA", at positions 524 to 776 of the family's 1533-position model. The record is from RNAcentral.